AGGUGAUAUGAACCGUUAUAACCGGCGAUUUCCGAAUGGGGAAACCCAGUGUGAUUCGUCACACUAUCAUUAACUGAAUCCAUAGGUUAAUGAGGCGAACCGGGGGAACUGAAACAUCUAAGUACCCCGAGGAAAAGAAAUCAACCGAGAUUCCCCCAGUAGCGGCGAGCGAACGGGGAGCAGCCCAGAGCCUGAAUCAGUGUGUGUGUUAGUGGAAGCGUCUGGAAAGGCGYGCGAUACAGGGUGACAGCCCCGUACACAAAAAUGCACAURCUGUGAGCUCGAUGAGUAGGGCGGGACACGUGGUAUCCUGUCUGAAUAUGGGGGGACCAUCCUCCAAGGCUAAAUACUCCUGACUGACCGAUAGUGAACCAGUACCGUGAGGGAAAGGCGAAAAGAACCCCGGCGAGGGGAGUGAAAAAGAACCUGAAACCGUGUACGUACAAGCAGUGGGAGCACGCUUAGGCGUGUGACUGCGUACCUUUUGUAUAAUGGGUCAGCGACUUAUAUUCUGUAGCAAGGUUAACCGAAUAGGGGAGCCGAAGGGAAACCGAGUCUUAACUGGGCGUUAAGUUGCAGGGUAUAGACCCGAAACCCGGUGAUCUAGCCAUGGGCAGGUUGAAGGUUGGGUAACACUAACUGGAGGACCGAACCGACUAAUGUUGAAAAAUUAGCGGAUGACUUGUGGCUGGGGGUGAAAGGCCAAUCAAACCGGGAGAUAGCUGGUUCUCCCCGAAAGCUAUUUAGGUAGCGCCUCGUGAAUUCAUCUCCGGGGGUAGAGCACUGUUUCGGCAAGGGGGUCAUCCCGACUUACCAACCCGAUGCAAACUGCGAAUACCGGAGAAUGUUAUCACGGGAGACACACGGCGGGUGCUAACGUCCGUCGUGAAGAGGGAAACAACCCAGACCGCCAGCUAAGGUCCCAAAGUCAUGGUUAAGUGGGAAACGAUGUGGGAAGGCCCAGACAGCCAGGAUGUUGGCUUAGAAGCAGCCAUCAUUUAAAGAAAGCGUAAUAGCUCACUGGUCGAGUCGGCCUGCGCGGAAGAUGUAACGGGGCUAAACCAUGCACCGAAGCUGCGGCAGCGACGCUUAUGCGUUGUUGGGUAGGGGAGCGUUCUGUAAGCCUGYGAAGGUGURCUGUGAGGYAUGCUGGAGGUAUCAGAAGUGCGAAUGCUGACAUAAGUAACGAUAAAGCGGGUGAAAAGCCCGCUCGCCGGAAGACCAAGGGUUCCUGUCCAACGUUAAUCGGGGCAGGGUGAGUCGACCCCUAAGGCGAGGCCGAAAGGCGUAGUCGAUGGGAAACAGGUUAAUAUUCCUGUACUUGGUGUUACUGCGAAGGGGGGACGGAGAAGGCUAUGUUGGCCGGGCGACGGUUGUCCCGGUUUAAGCGUGUAGGCUGGUUUUCCAGGCAAAUCCGGAAAAYYAAGGCUGAGGCGUGAUGACGAGGCACUACGGUGCUGAAGCAACAAAUGCCCUGCUUCCAGGAAAAGCCUCUAAGCAUCAGGUAACAUCAAAUCGUACCCCAAACCGACACAGGUGGUCAGGUAGAGAAUACCAAGGCGCUUGAGAGAACUCGGGUGAAGGAACUAGGCAAAAUGGUGCCGUAACUUCGGGAGAAGGCACGCUGAUAUGUAGGUGAAGUCCCUCGCGGAUGGAGCUGAAAUCAGUCGAAGAUACCAGCUGGCUGCAACUGUUUAUUAAAAACACAGCACUGUGCAAACACGAAAGUGGACGUAUACGGUGUGACGCCUGCCCGGUGCCGGAAGGUUAAUUGAUGGGGUYAGCGCAAGCGAAGCUCUUGAUCGAAGCCCCGGUAAACGGCGGCCGUAACUAUAACGGUCCUAAGGUAGCGAAAUUCCUUGUCGGGUAAGUUCCGACCUGCACGAAUGGCGUAAUGAUGGCCAGGCUGUCUCCACCCGAGACUCAGUGAAAUUGAACUCGCUGUGAAGAUGCAGUGUACCCGCGGCAAGACGGAAAGACCCCGUGAACCUUUACUAUAGCUUGACACUGAACAUUGAGCCUUGAUGUGUAGGAUAGGUGGGAGGCUUUGAAGUGUGGACGCCAGUCUGCAUGGAGCCGACCUUGAAAUACCACCCUUUAAUGUUUGAUGUUCUAACGUUGACCCGURAUCCGGGUUGCGGACAGUGUCUGGUGGGUAGUUUGACUGGGGCGGUCUCCUCCUAAAGAGUAACGGAGGAGCACGAAGGUUGGCUAAUCCUGGUCGGACAUCAGGAGGUUAGUGCAAUGGCAUAAGCCAGCUUGACUGCGAGCGUGACGGCGCGAGCAGGUGCGAAAGCAGGUCAUAGUGAUCCGGUGGUUCUGAAUGGAAGGGCCAUCGCUCAACGGAUAAAAGGUACUCCGGGGAUAACAGGCUGAUACCGCCCAAGAGUUCAUAUCGACGGCGGUGUUUGGCACCUCGAUGUCGGCUCAUCACAUCCUGGGGCUGAAGUAGGUCCCAAGGGUAUGGCUGUUCGCCAUUUAAAGUGGUACGCGAGCUGGGUUUAGAACGUCGUGAGACAGUUCGGUCCCUAUCUGCCGUGGGCGCUGGAGAAYUGAGGGGGGCUGCUCCUAGUACGAGAGGACCGGAGUGGACGCAUCACUGGUGUUCGGGUUGUCAUGCCAAUGGCACUGCCCGGUAGCUAAAUGCGGAAGAGAUAAGUGCUGAAAGCAUCUAAGCACGAAACUUGCCCCGAGAUGAGUUCUCCCUGACUCCUUGAGAGUCCUGAAGGAACGUUGAAGACGACGACGUUGAUAGGCCGGGUGUGUAAGCGCAGCGAUGCGUUGAGCUAACCGGUACUAAUGAACCGUGAGGCUUAACC
RNAcentral lists this ribosomal RNA (2819 nucleotides) under Escherichia coli. RNAcentral's name for it is "bacterial LSU rRNA". The record is from RNAcentral. Lineage: Bacteria; Pseudomonadati; Pseudomonadota; Gammaproteobacteria; Enterobacterales; Enterobacteriaceae.